This is a non-coding RNA of Penaeus vannamei (Pacific white shrimp), 693 nucleotides long. NCBI's taxonomy places the organism in Eukaryota, Metazoa, Arthropoda, Malacostraca, Decapoda, Penaeidae. The record is from RefSeq and is a predicted model, not a curated record.
AUUUCUAAAUGGAAUCUCUGACGCGCAUGCGCAGGAGAAACGUCCAUGAGUUUCGUGCAUAUAAAAGGCGUGGUUUCGUCGACGAGUUUCACAUCAAGUAUUUUCAGUUGGUGUUCAUAUUUGCCACAGCCAUGAAGUUCUUGCUGAUUGCUUGUUUGGGAAGCCUCUUCGCACAACAGGGACCGGCUGGCCUGCAGGGCCAGGGCCCUUCGUCAGGACCUGCAAGCUGACGUGCUGAGAGACUUCCCAGAACUUUGCUUCUCGUCAACAAACUUCCGACUCUUCCUGGAAAAUCAGUCCUGGAGCUUGUUCCCCUUCUGCGGCAAAGCUGAAUGCGUCAAGAGCGGCGCAGACUACAUUGAGCGCGUCCAUGACUGCGGUCCUCAGCCCAAGAAUGGUGAGGCAUGUACAAUUGCCAACCUAGCUGAGCUUCAACGGAACGACACCAUCCUCGAAUACCCAUCGUGCUGCCCCAAAUACGUGUGCCCUGAUGGAGUCACCCUUGAAUAUCCUACCCAGGAAGAGAUCAAGGCUGAGAUUCAGAAGCAAAACCAAGCCGCUCUGCAGGCAGCCAAGGAGGCCGCAGCAGCAAGGGAAGCGGCAGGCCCACAGGCAGCACCAGGAACUGCUUAAGUUACUCCAGAAAGACGAGGCAAAAUAAACUGUAAUGAUAAUAAAGUUAUUUGGAUAAUA